This 482-nucleotide long non-coding RNA is filed under the name Homo sapiens (human). RNAcentral describes it as "non-protein coding lnc-NUAK1-6:1". The record is from RNAcentral. Lineage: Eukaryota; Metazoa; Chordata; Mammalia; Primates; Hominidae.
CGCCGCUCCGACGCCAGCAGCGCCCGCGUGCCGCUCGCCCAGUCCCGGGGGAGCCCCUGCAAGUUUCCCGGGCCGCGCGCCGCGCUCGCUCGCCUCCCAGCCCGCGGCCCGAGCCGCCGCCGCGCCCGCCAUGCCCUCGGCCAAACAAAGGGGCUCCAAGGGCGGCCACGGCGCCGCGAGCCCCUCGGAGAAGGGUGCCCACCCGUCGGGCGGCGCGGAUGACGUGGCGAAGAAGCCGCCGCCGGCGCCGCAGCAGCCGCCGCCGCCGCCCGCGCCGCACCCGCAGCAGCACCCGCAGCAGCACCCGCAGAACCAGGCGCACGGCAAGGGCGGCCACCGCGGCGGCGGCGGCGGCGGCGGCAAGUCCUCCUCCUCCUCCUCCGCCUCCGCCGCCGCUGCCGCCGCCGCCGCCUCGUCCUCGGCGUCCUGCUCGCGCAGGCUCGGCAGGGCGCUCAACUUUCUCUUCUACCUCGCCCUGGUGG